ACGGGCCAGACUCCAUGUUGCUGGGAGAACCUCCCUGGUUGACUGGCCCUAGCUUGUUCUACUAGGCUUCAUCUGGAAUCUGUUUUACUACAGUAAAACUACUGAGAAUUAGGGAUGGUGGGGAAGGUGGGGUGUGGGGCAAAGUUGAACCAAAUCAGGCUACCACUUUAAAAUGCCCUGGGUUCCCUCAGAAAACUCAUCAGCCUGCCUCCUUCCUCUUCCUCUUCCUCUCCCAGCCAUCCACCUGCAUGGGGUCCCGUCUGUCACUGCAUGGGCCAUAGGUCCCUGUGUGUCCCCCUCUAGACACUGUUGUUUUAUGCUUACUGUGUGACUCCUCUUCCCUACUCCCAUACUGAAAGAUUCGCCACACUUCUACCUCUGGGCCUGCCCCUCCAUGACCGGUCAGUGUCCCGAUGCCUCUCAUGCAUGUCAGUGUCCUGGACAGCAGAGCGUCGCUGCAAGACCACCCUUUGCCCGUGUGUCACUCCUGCACCCCCCUCCACCUUCUCCUGCUUGUGGAGAUCCGUGUACUUCUGGAUCGUUGUCCAUAUCUCUCAAAGAAAAAAAAGAAAAAGAUUCCUCAAUGCUUUUCUUUUCAAAAGGGAAAAAAAAAGGAAAAAAAAAACAAUGCCAACAGCCCAGCGUGCGUGAACAGCCCAACAGUAACAAAGCGUGCGUUCGCGAUGGAGGAAGAACUUCAGCGAGAGGGAAGCAUCGAGACUCUGAGUAACAGCUCAGGCUCCACCAGUGGCAGCAUCCCAAGAAACUUUGAUGGCUACCGAUCUCCGCUCCCGACCAACGAGAGCCAGCCGCUCAGCCUCUUCCCCACUGGCUUCCCAUAGACACCAGCCACCUGCUUCUGACUGGCUGGCCUGCUCACCCCCUAGAGGGACUGACAGGGGUGGAGAGAAAUGCCCCUAUCUCCCUACACCCCCACCCCCAUAAACCUCUGGUCCCACCCUUUUCAGUCUCCUCAACCCCACCUUCCCGGAGCUUAGUGACAGCAGCCGCUCAUCCCUAACUGGACUGAAGACACCUUCGGAACACCUCAGUACACCCUGACUUCUCCCACUCCUGUCAGUGGGGGCUGUGGCCUGAAGAGACUGCAGAACUCAGUCCCUUCUCUCUUUGCACAUAAUGUCCUGCAUUGGAUCCGCUUUUGUAUUUUCUAACUACCCACAGGGGACUGGAACAGUGGCCAGAUCUUAGGGCCUUGGGUAGGGAAGAGUUGAAAGGUCCAGCCAGGCAUUUUGGUGGACAUCAGCCCUAGCCCAGUUGAGGCUGUGAUGCACACUGCCCCCAGGUAUCAGUUCUUUCUAAAAAAGGGGUUAACUGAGGCCUAGAGUGAUAGGGAAAAAGGAAAGACCUCCCCUUGCCCCUGCUUCCCUGUUGGCUCAUGGGGAGAUUUGUCUGUCUUAUCUUUAAACCCUUGUACCCUGGUCCUGUGCUGUUCAGUGAAGGAAACUGAAGUUACUGAGGCCGUGUCAGAAGUGCACGUCUUGUCCAAUAAAUCUUGCUGCAAUUGGUGUUCA
This 1532-nucleotide long non-coding RNA is filed under the name Rattus norvegicus (Norway rat). Its description in RNAcentral is "long non-coding RNA NONRATT004699". The record is from RNAcentral. Lineage: Eukaryota; Metazoa; Chordata; Mammalia; Rodentia; Muridae.